UACAAGUACCGUGAGGGAAAGUUGCAAAGCACUUUGAAGAGAGAGUUAAAGAGGACGUGAAACCGGUAAGGUGGAAACGGAUAGAGUCGGCGUAUCAUUCAAKUAUUCAGUUACAUUAUUUUUAUGUUGUGACCUCUGAGCUCCAGAUUGGGACAGAGGGAAUCAGCAUAAUUUUUUGUGGUGCAUUUACUUGAUUGGUGCUUGGGGAUGUUUGAGGCAGAUUUGUUUCCGUCGUUUUGAGGCCAGCUUGCUGGUACCCAAACGGUGUUAGCAUUUUUUGUCUUGGGCAUUUGAGUAUGGCUCACGUGCAUUUAUUGGACAGAUCUGAGUGUAAGUUACGGUCGCAUGCGACACGUGCUUUUCAAUUAGUUCGGUCCAGUUAAUGCUCUCGUACUCGUUCCCCAUGUAAAAGCCGGUCAUCUAUCCGACCCGUCUUGAAACACGGACCAAGGAGUUUAUCGUGUGCGCAAGUUUUUGGGUGUUAAAAACUUAAAAGCGAAAUGAAAGUAAAUGACUCUUUAGAGUCUGAUGUGCGAUCUUGUAAAAAAGUGUAGCAUGGCCCCAUUCUAACUGUUUACAGUAGGGUGGCGGAAGAGCGUACGCGGUGAGACCCGAAAGAUGGUGAACUAUUCCUGAGCAGGACGAAGCCAGAGGAAACUCUGGUGGAAGUCCGAAGCGGUUCUGACGUGCAAAUCGAUCGUCUGACUUGGGUAUAGGGGCGAAAGACUAAUCGAACCAUCUAGUAGCUGGUUCCUUCCGAGGAA
Molecule: ribosomal RNA, 764 nt
Filed under: Meloidogyne arenaria
Lineage: Eukaryota; Metazoa; Nematoda; Chromadorea; Rhabditida; Meloidogynidae
Description: eukaryotic LSU rRNA
Rfam family: Eukaryotic large subunit ribosomal RNA
Source: RNAcentral